Molecule: non-coding RNA, 30 nt
Filed under: Mus musculus (house mouse)
Lineage: Eukaryota; Metazoa; Chordata; Mammalia; Rodentia; Muridae
Source: RNAcentral
UNCGAUUUGAGUCAGGUGUCACCUCCAGCC